This 432-nucleotide unclassified non-coding RNA is filed under the name soil metagenome. RNAcentral describes it as "partial contains 5.8S ribosomal RNA, internal transcribed spacer 2, and large subunit ribosomal RNA". The stretch from base 1 to 120 matches the Rfam family "5.8S ribosomal RNA", at positions 35 to 154 of the family's 154-position model. The record is from RNAcentral.
GAUGAAGAACGCAUCGAAAUGCGAUACGUAAUGUGAAUUGCAGAAUUCAGUGAAUCAUCGAAUCUUUGAACGCAUAUUGCGCUCUCUGGUAUUCCGGAGAGCAUGCUUGUUUGAGUAUCAGUAAACACCUCAACUUCCAUAUCUUUUUUGAAAUGGGAGUUGGACUUGAGUGAUCCCAACGCUUUUCCUCACCGAAAAGUGGCGGGUUACUUGAAAUGCAGGUGCAGCUGGACUUUUCUCUGAGCUAUAAGCAUAUCUAUUUAGUCUGCCUAAAAAACAGAUUAUUACCUUUGCUGCAGCUAACAUAAAGGAGAUUAGUUCUUGUGCUGACUGAUGCAGGAUUCACAAAGACAGGCUUCGGCCGACUUUGUAAACUCGAUCUCAAAUCAAGUAAGACUACCCGCUGAACUUAAGCAUAUCAAUAGCGGAGGA